UUAAUGAGAGUUUGAUCCUGGCUCAGGACGAACGCUGGCGGCGUGCCUAAUACAUGCAAGUAGAACGCUGAUGUUUGGUGUUUACACUAGACUGAUGAGUUGCGAACGGGUGAGUAACGCGUAGGUAACCUGCCUCAUAGCGGGGGAUAACUAUUGGAAACGAUAGCUAAUACCGCAUAAGAGUAAUUAACACAUGUUAGUUAUUUAAAAGGAGCAAUUGCUUCACUGUGAGAUGGACCUGCGUUGUAUUAGCUAGUUGGUGAGGUAAAGGCUCACCAAGGCGACGAUACAUAGCCGACCUGAGAGGGUGAUCGGCCACACUGGGACUGAGACACGGCCCAGACUCCUACGGGAGGCAGCAGUAGGGAAUCUUCGGCAAUGGACGGAAGUCUGACCGAGCAACGCCGCGUGAGUGAAGAAGGUUUUCGGAUCGUAAAGCUCUGUUGUUAGAGAAGAACGUUGGUAGGAGUGGAAAAUCUACCAAGUGACGGUAA
This 494-nucleotide ribosomal RNA is filed under the name Streptococcus agalactiae. RNAcentral describes it as "bacterial SSU rRNA". It matches the Rfam family "Bacterial small subunit ribosomal RNA", at positions 1 to 478 of the family's 1533-position model. Lineage: Bacteria; Bacillati; Bacillota; Bacilli; Lactobacillales; Streptococcaceae. The record is from RNAcentral.